GUCCACGGGGAGCCCGCUUCAUUGUCCUCAGCUACGUAGACAACACGUAGUUCCAGCAGUUCAACAGGGACCCCAUGAGGCUGUGGGAGGAGCCGCAGGCACCAUGGAUGGAACAGGAGGGAUCAGAGUAUUGGUAGUGGAACAGGCAGAUCUACAAGGACACUGCACUGACUUUCUGUGGGCGUCUGACCAUUCGGCACACGCACUAUAACCAGAGUGAGGCUGGUGAGCAAGAUGGGCCUGGGUCUUUUCAGUAUAAACCCAUGGCAAAACCCAAGUGAAUCUCCGGACUCUUCCUGGAUCCAGGGUCUUGUUGGCGGACCUACGGCUGAUGCUUGGACCUGGAGACUCAGGGCUGAGUCAUCCUUGAGGACUGAGAGAGCUUGACUCUUUUGAUUCAGACUCCACUCCUUAUACACAGUGCCCUGAACAAAAACUCUCUGAGGGAAGAGAAGGAGGUAAAACAAAGGGC
Non-coding RNA from Equus caballus (horse), 472 nucleotides. The record is from RefSeq and is a predicted model, not a curated record. NCBI's taxonomy places the organism in Eukaryota, Metazoa, Chordata, Mammalia, Perissodactyla, Equidae.